RNAcentral lists this ribosomal RNA (276 nucleotides) under uncultured bacterium. RNAcentral's name for it is "partial 16S ribosomal RNA". It matches the Rfam family "Bacterial small subunit ribosomal RNA", at positions 77 to 353 of the family's 1533-position model. The record is from RNAcentral.
CAAACUGAAGAUGGCGACCGGCGCACGGGUGAGUAACACGUAUCCAACCUACCGAUAACUCCGGAAUAGCCUUUCGAAAGAAAGAUUAAUACCGGAUAGUAUACGAAUAUCGCAUGAUAUUUUUAUUAAAGAAUUUCGGUUAUCGAUGGGGAUGCGUUCCAUUAGUUUGUUGGCGGGGUAACGGCCCACCAAGCCUUCGAUGGAUAGGGGUUCUGAGAGGAAGGUCCCCCACAUUGGAACUGAGACACGGUCCAAACUCCUACGGGAGGCAGCAUG